AGCUCGUAGGCGGUUUGUCGCGUCUGCUGUGAAAACCCGAGGCUCAACCUCGGGCCUGCAGUGGGUACGGGCAGACUAGAGUGCGGUAGGGGAGAAUGGAAUUCCUGGUGUAGCGGUGGAAUGCGCAGAUAUCAGGAGGAACACCGAUGGCGAAGGCAGUUCUCUGGGCCGUUACUGACGCUGAGGAGCGAAAGCGUGGGGAGCGAACAGGAUUAGAUACCCUGGUAGUCCACGCCGUAAACGUUGGGAACUAGAUGUGGGGACCUUUCCACGGUCUCCGUGUCGCAGCUAACGCAUUAAGUUCCCCGCCUGGGGAGUACGGCCGCAAGGCUAAAACUCAAAGGAAUUGACGGGGGCCCGCACAAGCGGCGGAGCAUGCGGAUUAAUUCGAUGCAACGCGAAGAACCUUACCAAGGCUUGACAUAUACCGGAAACUUCCAGAAAUGGUUGCCCCGCAAGGUCGGUAUACAGGUGGUGCAUGGUUGUCGUCAGCUCGUGUCGUGAGAUGUUGGGUUAAGUCCCGCAACGAGCGCAACCCUCGUUCUAUGUUGCCAGCACGUCAUGGUGGGAACUCAUAGGAGACUGCCGGGGUCAACUCGGAGGAAGGUGGGGAUGACGUCAAAUCAUCAUGCCCCUUAUGUCUUGGGCUUCACGCAUGCUACAAUGGCCGGUACAAAGGGCUGCGAUACCGUAAGGUGGAGCGAAUCCCAAAAAGCCGGUCUCAGUUCGGAUUGAGGUCUGCAACUCGACCUCAUGAAGUCGGAGUCGCUAGUAAUCGCAGAUCAGCAACGCUGCGGUGAAUACGUUCCCGGGCCUUGUACACACCGCCCGUCAAGUC
RNAcentral lists this ribosomal RNA (838 nucleotides) under Rathayibacter sp. RNAcentral describes it as "bacterial SSU rRNA". It matches the Rfam family "Bacterial small subunit ribosomal RNA", at positions 566 to 1403 of the family's 1533-position model. The record is from RNAcentral. Lineage: Bacteria; Bacillati; Actinomycetota; Actinomycetes; Micrococcales; Microbacteriaceae.